This 460-nucleotide ribosomal RNA is filed under the name uncultured bacterium. RNAcentral's name for it is "partial 16S ribosomal RNA". It matches the Rfam family "Bacterial small subunit ribosomal RNA", at positions 338 to 795 of the family's 1533-position model. The record is from RNAcentral.
CCUACGGGUGGCUGCAGUGAGGAAUAUUGGUCAAUGGACGCAAGUCUGAACCAGCCAUGCCGCGUGCAGGAAGACGGCUCUAUGAGUUGUAAACUGCUUUUGUACGAGGGUAAACGCAGAUACGCGUAUCUGUCUGAACGUCUCGUACGAAUGAGGAACGGCUAACGCCGUUCCAGCAGCCGCGGGAAUACGGAGGAUUCAAGCGUGGUCCGGAUUGCGUGGGUUUAAAGGGUGCGUAGGUGGUCGGAUAAGUUAGAGGUGAAUUCCCGAGGCUCAACUUCGGAAUUGCUUCUGUGACUGUUCGGCUAGAGAGUAGGUGCGGUAGGCGGAAUUGAUGGUGUAGCGGUGAAAUGCUUAGAGAUUAUACAGAACACCGAUUGCGAAGGCAGCUUACCAAGCUACUUCUGACGUUGAGGCACGAAAGCGUGGGGAGCAAACAGGAUUAGAUACCCGAGUAGUC